Molecule: ribosomal RNA, 493 nt
Filed under: uncultured bacterium
Lineage: Bacteria
Description: bacterial SSU rRNA
Rfam family: Bacterial small subunit ribosomal RNA
Source: RNAcentral
GAUCAUGGCUCAGGAUGAACGCUGGCGGCGCGCUUAACACAUGCAAGUCGAACGGUUAAAGCACCUCCGGGUGUGCAUAAAGUGGCGAACGGCUGAGUAACACGUGGGCAACCUGCCCCCCGCACCGGGAUAGCCUCGGGAAACCGUGGGUAAUACCGGAUACUCCGCCACCCCCGCAUGGGGGAGGCGGGAAAGCGUACACGGCGGGGGAUGGGCCCGCGGCCUGUUAGCUCGUUGGCGGGGUAACGGCCCACCAAGGCGAUUAUGGGUAGCCGGGUUGAGAGACCGACCGGCCAGAUUGGGACUGAGACACGGCCCAGACUCCUACGGGAGGCAGCAGUGGGGAAUCUUGCACAAUGGGCGAAAGCCUGAUGCAGCGAACCGCCGCGUGCGGGAUGAAGGCCCUCGGGUUGUAAACCGCUUUCAGCAGGGACGAGGCGCAAGUGACGGUACCUGCAGAAGAAGCCCCGGCUAACUACGUGCCAGCAGCAGC